GACGAACGCUGGCGGCGUGCUUAACACAUGCAAGUCGAACGGAAAGGCCUGCUUUCCCUUGUGGAUUGCGGGUACUCGAGUGGCGAACGGGUGAGUAACACGUGAGUGAUCUGCCCCCAACUUGGGUAUAAGCCUGGGAAACUGGGUCUAAUUCCCGAUAGGACUGCAGGGUGGUGCCUGUGGUGGAAAACGAUUUUCUAGUGGUUGGGGAUGAGCUCGCGGCCUAUCAGCUUGUUGGUGGGGUAAUGGCCUACCAAGGCGGCGACGGGUAGCCGGCCUGAGAGGGUGGACGGCCACAUUGGGACUGAGAUACGGCCCAGACUCCUACGGAAGGCAGCAGUGGGGAAUAUUGCACAAUGGGCGGAAGCCUGAUGCAGCGACGCCGCGUGGGGGUUGACGGCCUUCGGGUUGUAAACUCCUUUCGACCGCGAGGAAGCCACCUGGUUGGAAGGGUGGUGACGGUAGUGGUAGAAGAAGCACCGGCUAACUACGUG
RNAcentral lists this ribosomal RNA (494 nucleotides) under uncultured bacterium. Its description in RNAcentral is "partial 16S ribosomal RNA". It matches the Rfam family "Bacterial small subunit ribosomal RNA", at positions 28 to 507 of the family's 1533-position model. The record is from RNAcentral.